This 464-nucleotide ribosomal RNA is filed under the name uncultured bacterium. Its description in RNAcentral is "partial 16S ribosomal RNA". It matches the Rfam family "Bacterial small subunit ribosomal RNA", at positions 338 to 795 of the family's 1533-position model. The record is from RNAcentral.
CCUACGGGAGGCAGCAGUGGGGAAUUUUGGACAAUGGGCGCAAGCCUGAUCCAGCUAUUCCGCGUGUGGGAUGACGGCCCUCGGGUUGGAAAACACUUUAGUAGAGAACGAAAAGGAGCUAUCGAAAAAAAAGGUCUGCUGACGGUACGCUAAGAAUAAGCACCGGCUAACUACGUGCCAGCAGCCGCGGUAAUACGUAGGGUGCGAGCGUUAAUCGGAAUUAAUGGGCGUAAGGGUGUGCAGGCGGCUUAGUAAGAGAGAUGUGAAAUCCCCGGGCUUAACCUGGGAACCGCAUAUGUGGCUGCUUGGCUAGAGUGCGUAAGAGGGAGGUGGAAUUCCACGUGUAGCAGUGAAAUGCGUAGAUAGGUGGAAGAACACCGAUGGAGAAGGCAGCCUCCUGGGACGUAACUGACGCUCAGACACGAAAGCAUGGGGAGCAAACAGGAUUAGAUACCCUUGUAGUC